ACAGCGACUACGUCCAUUGUCCGUCGGCUUCGCCCUCCCUAAGGGUGGCUAUAUGGAAUGUGGCGAAGUAUGGUCUUUCACU
This 82-nucleotide microRNA precursor is filed under the name Fasciola hepatica (liver fluke). RNAcentral describes it as "microRNA fhe-mir-1 precursor". Its record names the gene fhe-mir-1. The record is from miRBase by way of RNAcentral. Lineage: Eukaryota; Metazoa; Platyhelminthes; Trematoda; Plagiorchiida; Fasciolidae.